UGGCUGCGAAAAGAGUUUUAAUUUUUAAAGAGAGCGCAGAAAAUUAGCGCUCUCAGGCGACAGGCACAAAACGGAGAGAGACAAUUAUGUUUGAA
RNAcentral lists this non-coding RNA (95 nucleotides) under Pluralibacter gergoviae. RNAcentral's name for it is "Enterobacter gergoviae Plasmid-encoded Shigella sRNA A". It matches the Rfam family "Plasmid-encoded Shigella sRNA A". Lineage: Bacteria; Pseudomonadati; Pseudomonadota; Gammaproteobacteria; Enterobacterales; Enterobacteriaceae. The record is from Rfam by way of RNAcentral.